This 575-nucleotide ribosomal RNA is filed under the name Salmonella enterica. RNAcentral describes it as "partial 23S ribosomal RNA". It matches the Rfam family "Bacterial large subunit ribosomal RNA", at positions 711 to 1282 of the family's 2925-position model. Lineage: Bacteria; Pseudomonadati; Pseudomonadota; Gammaproteobacteria; Enterobacterales; Enterobacteriaceae. The record is from RNAcentral.
AGACCCGAAACCCGGUGAUCUAGCCAUGGGCAGGUUGAAGGUUGGGUAACACUAACUGGAGGACCGAACCGACUAAUGUUGAAAAAUUAGCGGAUGACCUGUGGCUGGGGGUGAAAGGCCAAUCAAACCGGGAGAUAGCUGGUUCUCCCCGAAAGCUAUUUAGGUAGCGCCUCGUGAAUUCAUCUCCGGGGGUAGAGCACUGUUUCGGCUAGGGGGCCAUCCCGGCUUACCAACCCGAUGCAAACUGCGAAUACCGGAGAAUGUUAUCACGGGAGACACACGGCGGGUGCUAACGUCCGUCGUGAAGAGGGAAACAACCCAGACCGCCAGCUAAGGUCCCAAAGUCAUGGUUAAGUGGGAAACGAUGUGGGAAGGCCCAGACAGCCAGGAUGUUGGCUUAGAAGCAGCCAUCAUUUAAAGAAAGCGUAAUAGCUCACUGGUCGAGUCGGCCUGCGCGGAAGAUGUAACGGGGCUAAACCAUGCACCGAAGCUGCGGCAGCGACGCUUAUGCGUUGUUGGGUAGGGGAGCGUUCUGUAAGCCUGUGAAGGUGGCCUGUGAGGGUUGCUGGAGGUAU